CGCGGCCUAUCAGCUUGUGGGGGGAGUGGCCUACCAAGGCGACGACGGGUAGCCGGCCUGAGAGGGUGACCGGCCACACUGGGACUGAGACACGGCCCAGACUCCUACGGGAGGCAGCAGUGGGGAAUAUUGCGCAAUGGGCGAAAGCCUGACGCAGCGACGCCGCGUGGGGGAUGACGGCCUUCGGGUUGUAAACCUCUUUCAGCAGGGACGAAGCCGCAAGGUGACGGUACCUGCAGAAGAAGCACCGGCCAACUACGUGCCAGCAGCCGCGGUAAUACGUAGGGUGCAAGCGUUGUCCGGAAUUAUUGGGCGUAAAGAGCUCGUAGGCGGUUCGUCGCGUCGGCUGUGAAAACCUGAGGCUCAACCUCAGGCCUGCAGUCGAUACGGGCGGACUUGAGUACUGCAGGGGAGACUGGAAUUCCUGGUGUAGCGGUGAAAUGCGCAGAUAUCAGGAGGAACACCGGUGGCGAAGGCGGGUCUCUGGGCAGUAACUGACGCUGAGGAGCGAAAGCGUGGGGAGCGAACAGGAUUAGAUACCCUGGUAGUCCACGCCGUAAACGUUGGGCGCUAGGUGUGGGGGCCAUUCCACGGUCUCCGUGCCGCAGCUAACGCAUUAAGCGCCCGCCUGGGGAGUACGG
Molecule: ribosomal RNA, 641 nt
Filed under: uncultured Actinomycetes bacterium
Lineage: Bacteria; Bacillati; Actinomycetota; Actinomycetes
Description: bacterial SSU rRNA
Rfam family: Bacterial small subunit ribosomal RNA
Source: RNAcentral